Molecule: ribosomal RNA, 253 nt
Filed under: uncultured bacterium
Lineage: Bacteria
Description: partial 16S ribosomal RNA
Rfam family: Bacterial small subunit ribosomal RNA
Source: RNAcentral
GACGUAGGGCGCGAGCGUUGUCCGGAUUUAUUGGGCGUAAAGAGCUCGUAGGCGGCUUGUCGCGUCGACCGUGAAAACUCGCAGCUCAACUGCGAGCCUGCGGUCGAUACGGGCAGGCUAGAGUUCGGUAGGGGAGACUGGAAUUCCUGGUGUAGCGGUGAAAUGUGCAGAUAUCAGGAGGAACACCGGUGGCGAAGGCGGGUCUCUGGGCCGAUACUGACGCUGAGGAGCGAAAGCGUGGGGAGCGAACAGG